CCUACGGGAGGCUGCAGUGGGGAAUAUUGCACAAUGGGGGAAACCCUGAUGCAGCGACGCCGCGUGAGUGAAGAAGUAUUUCGGUAUGUAAAGCUCUAUCAGCAGGGAAGAAAUAGCCGCCUUUUGAUCACCAGACGGUGGCUAACUACGAACCACCGGCUAACUACGUACCAGAAGCCGCGGUGAUACGUAGGGGGCAAGCGUUAUACGGAUUUACUGGGUGUAAAGGGAGCGUAGACGGCAGCACAAGUCUGCAGUGAAAUGCCGGGGCUUAACCCCGGAACUGCUUUGGAAACUGUGCAGCUAGAGUGCAGGAGAGGUAAGUGGAAUUCCUAGUGUAGCGGUGAAAUGCGUAGAUAUUAGGAGGAACACCAGUGGCGAAGGCGGCUUACUGGACUGUAACUGACGUUGAGGCUCGAAAGCGUGGGGAGCAAACAGGAUUAGAUACCCCUGUAGUC
Molecule: ribosomal RNA, 458 nt
Filed under: uncultured bacterium
Lineage: Bacteria
Description: partial 16S ribosomal RNA
Rfam family: Bacterial small subunit ribosomal RNA
Source: RNAcentral